AAUCAUAUGCUUGUCUUAAAGACUAAGCCAUGCACGUCUAAGGAUAAACAAUUUUAUUCGUAAACCUGCGAACGGCUCAUUAAAUCAGUUUAAAUCUAAUCAGUUGUACCUUUAAUUGGAUAACUGUAGUAAUUCUAGAGCUAAUACAUGCAACAAACCUGAACUUUUCGGAACAGGUGUAUUUAUUUGUCUCUUAAAACUAAUAGUAGCAAUACUUAAUCCAAUGAUUUAAAAUAACCAUACAAAUCGCAAUUUUUUUUGCGAUAACUUGAAUGAUAUUCUGCCCUAUCAACUGUCGAUGGUAGUGUAGAGGACUACCAUGGUGGGUAACGGAGAAUUUGGGUUUGAUUCCGGAGAAAAAGCCUGAGAGACGGCUAUUACUUCCAAGGAAGGCAGCAGGCGCGUAAAUUACCCAAUCCUAAUAUGGGGAGGUAGUGACGAGAAAUACUAGUAUCGGUCUUUUAUAAGAACGAUGAUUGGAAUGAGAACAACGUAAAUACAUUAACGACUAACAAGUGAAGGGCAAGUCUGGUGCCAGCAGCCGCGGUAAUUCCAGCUUCACUAGUGUAUAUUAAAGUUGUUGCGGUUAAAAAGCUCGUAGUUGGAUUUCGAACUUUGGGCUCUUUUGUUCAAUUUAUUGUUCAAUUGAGUUCCAUACUUCUUCUUAAAGAGUUAAAACUCUUAAAGUUUACUGUGAAAAAAUUAGAGUGUUAAAAGCAGGCAAUUGCCAGAAUAUUUCAGCAUGGGAUAAUAAAAAAUGACUUUCGUCAGAUUUUGUUGGUUUCUAAGGCGAAAGUAAUGAUUAAAAGGGACAGUUGGGGCAACUUGUAUUGAUUCGCUAGAGGUGAAAUUCUAUGAUUGAGUCAAGACAAACUACUGCGAAAGCAUUUUGCAAGGAUGUUUUCAUUAAUCAAGAACGAAAGUUACAGGAUCGAAGAUGAUCAGAUACCGUCGUAGUUGUAACCGUAAACAAUGUCAACUCAGGAUUAAAAGAUAUUAUUUGAAUGAUUCUUUUAGCACUGUGUGAGAAAUCAAAGUAUCCAGACUCCGGGGGGAGUAUGGUCGCAAGACUGAAACUUAAAGGAAUUGACGGAAGGGCACCACCAGGAGUGG
This 1113-nucleotide ribosomal RNA is filed under the name uncultured soil eukaryote. RNAcentral describes it as "SSU rRNA". It matches the Rfam family "Eukaryotic small subunit ribosomal RNA", at positions 21 to 1179 of the family's 1831-position model. The record is from RNAcentral.